RNAcentral lists this ribosomal RNA (471 nucleotides) under uncultured Comamonadaceae bacterium. RNAcentral describes it as "bacterial SSU rRNA". It matches the Rfam family "Bacterial small subunit ribosomal RNA", at positions 9 to 475 of the family's 1533-position model. Lineage: Bacteria; Pseudomonadati; Pseudomonadota; Betaproteobacteria; Burkholderiales; Comamonadaceae. The record is from RNAcentral.
AGAUUUGAUCCUGGCUCAGAUUGAACGCUGGCGGAAUGCUUUACACAUGCAAGUCGAACGGCAGCACGGGGGCAACCCUGGUGGCGAGUGGCGAACGGGUGAGUAAUACAUCGGAACGUGCCCAGUCGUGGGGGAUAACGUAGCGAAAGCUACGCUAAUACCGCAUACGAUCUAUGGAUGAAAGCGGGGGACCGUAAGGCCUCGCGCGAUUGGAGCGGCCGAUGGCAGAUUAGGUAGUUGGUGGGGUAAAGGCUCACCAAGCCUGCGAUCUAUAGCUGGUCUGAGAGGACGACCAGCCACACUGGGACUGAGACACGGCCCAGACUCCUACGGGAGGCAGCAGUGGGGAAUUUUGGACAAUGGGCGCAAGCCUGAUCCAGCCAUUCCGCGUGCAGGAUGAAGGCCUUCGGGUUGUAAACUGCUUUUGUACGGAACGAAAAGGCUCUUUCUAAUACAGAGAGCUCAUGACGU